Molecule: ribosomal RNA, 370 nt
Filed under: uncultured Polaribacter sp.
Lineage: Bacteria; Pseudomonadati; Bacteroidota; Flavobacteriia; Flavobacteriales; Flavobacteriaceae
Description: bacterial SSU rRNA
Rfam family: Bacterial small subunit ribosomal RNA
Source: RNAcentral
ACGCGUAUAGAACCUACCUUUUACAGAGGAAUAGCCUUUAGAAAUGAAGAUUAAUGCCUCAUGGUAUUGUAGACUGGCAUCAGUUUAUAAUUAAAGAUUUAUCGGUAAAAGAUGGCUAUGCGUCCUAUUAGUUAGUUGGUAAGGUAACGGCUUACCAAGACAGCGAUAGGUAGGGGUCCUGAGAGGGAGAUCCCCCACACUGGUACUGAGACACGGACCAGACUCCUACGGGAGGCAGCAGUGAGGAAUAUUGGACAAUGGAGGAGACUCUGAUCCAGCCAUGCCGCGUGUAGGAAGAAUGCCCUAUGGGUUGUAAACUACUUUUAUACAGGAAGAAACACUGGUAUGUAUACCAGCUUGACGGUACUGU